AGAGUUUGAUCAUGGCUCAGAGCGAACGCUGGCGGCAGGCUUAACACAUGCAAGUCGAGCGGGCGUAGCAAUACGUCAGCGGCAGACGGGUGAGUAACGCGUGGGAACGUACCUUUUGGUUCGGAACAACACAGGGAAACUUGUGCUAAUACCGGAUAAGCCCUUACGGGGAAAGAUUUAUCGCCGAAAGAUCGGCCCGCGUCUGAUUAGCUAGUUGGUGAGGUAACGGCUCACCAAGGCGACGAUCAGUAGCUGGUCUGAGAGGAUGAUCAGCCACAUUGGGACUGAGACACGGCCCAAACUCCUACGGGAGGCAGCAGUGGGGAAUAUUGGACAAUGGGGGCAACCCUGAUCCAGCCAUGCCGCGUGAGUGAUGAAGGCCCUAGGGUUGUAAAGCUCUUUUGUGCGGGAAGAUAAUGACGGUACCGCAAGAAUAAGCCCCGGCUAACUUCGUGCCAGCAGCCGCGGUAAUACGAAGGGGGCUAGCGUUGCUCGGAAUCACUGGGCGUAAAGGGUGCGUAGGCGGGUUUUUAAGUCAGGGGUGAAAUCCUGGAGCUCAACUCCAGAACUGCCUUUGAUACUGAAGAUCUUGAGUCCGGGAGAGGUGAGUGGAACUGCGAGUGUAGAGGUGAAAUUCGUAGAUAUUCGCAAGAACACCAGUGGCGAAGGCGGCUCACUGGCCCGGUACUGACGCUGAGGCACGAAAGCGUGGGGAGCAAACAGGAUUAGAUACCCCCGUAGUCC
Molecule: ribosomal RNA, 744 nt
Filed under: uncultured bacterium
Lineage: Bacteria
Description: bacterial SSU rRNA
Rfam family: Bacterial small subunit ribosomal RNA
Source: RNAcentral